Molecule: non-coding RNA, 216 nt
Filed under: Priestia endophytica
Lineage: Bacteria; Bacillati; Bacillota; Bacilli; Caryophanales; Bacillaceae
Description: Bacillus endophyticus T-box sequence
Rfam family: T-box leader
About the family: Uncharged tRNA acts as the effector for transcription antitermination of genes in the T-box leader family. T-boxes are found upstream of many aminoacyl-tRNA synthetase genes and some amino acid biosynthetic genes usually in Gram-positive bacteria.
Source: RNAcentral
AUUAGAACGUUGAAGAGGAAUAGUAAUUAGAUUUCCCAUGUAAGAGAGCGAGGUUCAUCGGCUGCAAAACCUUGUCAUGGAGGAGCUAAUGAACCUACCUCAGAGUCUUAGAGGGAAAAUCUAAGCGUGUGUACCGGCGUUAACGGAAAAAGUGGAGUAUAAUAACUUGUGCUCAAAUAAGGUGGUACCGCGGAAAAAGCCCUCUCCGUCCUUUUG